GACGGAGGAUGCAAGCGUUAUCCGGAAUUAUUGGGCGUAAAGCGUCCGCAGGUGGCUGUUCAAGUCUGCUGUCAAAGCGCAGAGCUUAACUCUGUACAGGCGGUGGAAACUGAAGAGCUAGAGUGUGGUAGGGGUAGAGGGAAUUCCCGGUGUAGCGGUGAAAUGCGUAGAGAUCGGGAAGAACAUCGGUGGCGAAGGCGCUCUACUGGACCACAACUGACACUCAGGGACGAAAGCUAGGGGAGCGAAUGGG
RNAcentral lists this ribosomal RNA (253 nucleotides) under uncultured bacterium. RNAcentral's name for it is "partial 16S ribosomal RNA". It matches the Rfam family "Bacterial small subunit ribosomal RNA", at positions 524 to 776 of the family's 1533-position model. The record is from RNAcentral.